UUUCAGUGACCUUUCCCAUUUCCCCUCCCCAUUUCCCCAACCCCGUUAAAAUUUUAGACAGAAAUCCCUAACCCCUUCCCUUCCCUCCUCCCUUUUUUUCCCCAAAUUGAAAACCCACCUACAGUCCCCACCGAUCCACCAUCCCACCUCCGGUCUCCGGUCCUCCAGCACUCCACCUCCACUCCACGACACUAGGUGGCAUUGUUGUUCUCUUCACUUCGAUUCUUCUGCAACUUCCGAGUCCGACCCAAACCCUUCAAAUCAACAAGUUCAAGCCUUCAAGGUAACUUCUUUCUAUUCUUCUUCACUUUAGUUUUCAUUUUAAUCAUGUAUUUAAGACUUAAGAGAAGGUUGCUCUUUAUUGCUGAGUUUAGUGACGGUGACAUGCUUCGAUUUUUAAUAUACUGUUGCCAUGUUCUCUUUGAACUUUGAAGUUUGAAGUCAUUUGCUAGUGCUUUUCUGUAAAAAUUGUCUAGAUGGGCUUGAUCAUUUUCCAGAUUUUGGCAUGUCAUUUUCCAGAUUUUAUUUUAUUUCCAGAAAAACUGUUUAAAGUUUAAAUAAAAAUUAUUAAGUAUAUAUUUUUAAAAUGAUUGUACUGUGGCGGAAUUUGAAUUUGAAUUUGAAUUUAUUGAUGUAAAAUUAAAAUAUGAAUUACGAUGUUAGGUUUACAUGUAUGAGUAGUAAAUACUUCUUGUCAUUCGUUUUCUUGGUCAACAAACGGGAAUUUGAUCUUAAAGAUCCUUAAGAUUAAAAUACGAAUGAAGUUAGGUUUACAUGGUCAUGUUUUUGCAAAGUCAAAAUUUCAUCUGCUUUUCUUUUUGGUUUGAUCUGUUUUUUGGUUGGUGAGAAAGUGAAUGAAAAGUUGCUGAAAAUGAAUUGAAUUGAAUUUGUUGGUUGAUGUAAAAUGAAUUGAAAAUGAACUGUGGCGGGGUUUUGUUUUUCGUAGAGUUUCGGUUAGUAAAAAUACAUUUUGUAAGCUCAUGGGAUCAAUAUCUAUAAUUAAUAUUAUGUAUAAUAUUGAUAUUUCUUGUGAAUUUACAGAUCAUAUCUCUAUUGGUCGAGGUAUUCCUUAAAUUUAGUGAACCUAAUGAGCUUUCGAACACUGUUUUAAAUUCUCUUAGUACAACAGUGUUUUAAAUUCUCUAAUAAGUAGCCUAUCUACAUUUAUAUCCAUAUGUUAUUUCUUCUUGUAUGAAAACAAACCAAGCAAGUUUUAAUGAACAUAAGAGAAAUAGGACUUUGAGGACGAUGACGACGAUGAGGAUGAUGAUGUUUCUUCGGUAGCUUUUUAAGAUACUUUCCUUCUAAAUAUGUUGAUGGACAAUUUAUAUUUUGUUAUGAAAUUAAAUAUGUUGAUGGAUUAAUGUAUGAAUAUUAUGGUUUGUUGCUUAAUUUUCCAAAGUCAAUUUGGACUUUGAAGGUACGUGUACUUGUGGGGUUUAACUUAUGUUUUCUUACCUCAAAGAUAGUUUGAAUCAAAAUUAGAGAUUUAGUAAAUGAUAAAACUCAAAUUGAUUUAAUAUGAUUUAAAAGCAAUGGUAUUAUGCAUAGAUAAUAUUUAAAUUAAUUAUGUUAUUAUGUUAUUAAUUUAAAUUAAUUAAAUUUGACAGUUUUUUGCAGCUUAAAACUUAAAAGCAAUAACAGAAUAUUUAAAUUAAUUAUGUUAUUAUGCAAUAUGCAUAGAAUAUUUGUGACAUUUUUUGACAGUUUUGGUAUUAUUUGACAGUUUUUUGCAGCUUAAAACUUAAAAGCAAUAGCAGUGCUUAUUGCCCAAUGAUAAUAUGCUGCUAGUUCUUAUUACUUGUAUAAUCAUUUUUAUUUUUAUUCUCUUUUUUUAAGAAUUGAUUGUUACCUAAAUGUCACAAAUGUGUAAUUAUAGACAAUUAAAUAACAUUU
Molecule: long non-coding RNA, 1896 nt
Filed under: Gossypium barbadense (sea-island cotton)
Lineage: Eukaryota; Viridiplantae; Streptophyta; Magnoliopsida; Malvales; Malvaceae
Description: long non-coding RNA (GBAR_LNC021429)
Source: RNAcentral